AGACCCCAGCAGGUUAGGAAUUUUGGAAUUCAUCAGCCUGGCUGUCGGUCUCGUCAGUAUCCGUGGCGUGGACUCCGGUCUCUACCUGGGAAUGAACGAGCGAGGAGAACUGUAU
Long non-coding RNA from Nanorana parkeri, 115 nucleotides. RefSeq lists it as uncharacterized. The record is from RefSeq and is a predicted model, not a curated record. The transcript is spliced from 3 exons. Lineage: Eukaryota; Metazoa; Chordata; Amphibia; Anura; Dicroglossidae.